AGAGGGACUGCCGGUGAUAAACCGGAGGAGGGUGGGGAUGACGUCAAGUCCUCAUGGCCUUUAUGUUCAGGGCUACACACGUGCUACAAUGGCCGGUACAAAGAGUUGCGAGACCGCGAGGGGGAGCUAAUCUCAUAAAGCCGGUCUCAGUUCGGAUUGGAGUCUGCAACUCGACUCCAUGAAGUUGGAAUCGCUAGUAAUCGUGGAUCAGCAUGCCACGGUGAAUACGUUCCCGGGCCUUGUACACACCGCCCGUCACACCACGAAAGCCGAAUGUACCAGAAGUCAUAAUGCCAACCCUCGGGAGGCUAAUGCCUAAGGUGUGUUUGGUGAUCAGGGUGAAGUCGUAACAAGGUAGCCGUAGGGGAACCUGCGGCUGGAUCACCUCCUUUCUAAGGAG
Molecule: ribosomal RNA, 400 nt
Filed under: Acidiferrobacteraceae bacterium
Lineage: Bacteria; Pseudomonadati; Pseudomonadota; Gammaproteobacteria; Acidiferrobacterales; Acidiferrobacteraceae
Description: bacterial SSU rRNA
Rfam family: Bacterial small subunit ribosomal RNA
Source: RNAcentral